RNAcentral lists this ribosomal RNA (345 nucleotides) under uncultured Cryptosporangium sp. Its description in RNAcentral is "bacterial SSU rRNA". It matches the Rfam family "Bacterial small subunit ribosomal RNA", at positions 144 to 508 of the family's 1533-position model. Lineage: Bacteria; Bacillati; Actinomycetota; Actinomycetes; Cryptosporangiales; Cryptosporangiaceae. The record is from RNAcentral.
UAACUCCGGAACCGGGGGCGUAAUACCGGAUAUGACCUCGGACGGCAUCAUCCGAGGUGGAAAGUUUUUCGGCGAGGGAUGGGCCCGCGGCCUAUCAGCUUGUUGGUGGGGUAAGGGCCCACCAAGGCGACGACGGGUAGCCGGCCUGAGAGGGCGACCGGCCACACUGGGACUGAGACACGGCCCAGACUCCUACGGGAGGCAGCAGUGGGGAAUAUUGCGCAAUGGGCGAAAGCCUGACGCAGCGACGCCGCGUGAGGGAUGAAGGCCUUCGGGUUGUAAACCUCUUUCAGCAGGGACGAAAACAGACGGUACCUGCAGAAGAAGCACCGGCCAACUACGUGC